GGAGAGUUGGCAGAGCGGUAAUGCAGCGGAUUGCUAAUCCGUCGUGAUGUAACAAUCACGCGCGAGUUCAAAUCUCGCACUCUCCG
RNAcentral lists this transfer RNA (86 nucleotides) under Fidelibacterota bacterium. Its description in RNAcentral is "Candidatus Marinimicrobia bacterium tRNA-Ser". It matches the Rfam family "tRNA". Rfam says of the family: Transfer RNA (tRNA) molecules are approximately 80 nucleotides in length. The record is from RNAcentral. Lineage: Bacteria; Pseudomonadati; Fidelibacterota.